UUAAGUUCCAAUUCGAUUAGGGUCAUUGGAUUAAGGAGAUGAACGACCAGGAUUUGAGUAGUAAUUAAGCACCCCGAAGUUCAUUAUUUAGACUAUUUCGUUCAUUACGGGGGUGAAUUAGUAAUUGUAUAGUAUGAAAUUUUGGAGAACACGAGGGGUCGCGAAUUUAGCGGGAUACACCCGCUGAUUACAAUCUGCCGCCUCAUUCUUCACAAACCGCAUUUACUCCACUAAUCUCUCCACUAUCCAUCUCAAAAUCCAUCGGACUUGCAAAACCCUAGCCGCCGUGGACUUUUUUGGCGACGAUUACACCGGUUUUUCAGUGGAUUUGUAUUCUCGUGGUCGGUUCCGAACAUUACUCCGCCGCGUUCUAAGUAGAGACGCAGAUCUUAUAAUGCCGAAAAGAGGACGGCCAAGCAAUUCGCAGCAAACCCAGCAAGAUGAAAAUUCAGUCGUGGGUUCAGCUUCCUGAUGGUAACUGGGAGCUGGGGACAGUUCUUCAGGCUACUGGUAAUGAUUCAGUGAUAACAUCGCCUGAGGGAAAAGGGUACUGAAAGUGAGUUCAGAAACUCCGAUACCAGCAAAUCCUGAUAUUCUUGAUGGUGUAUAUGAUCUCAUGGAAUUAAGUUACCUGAAUGAAUCAU
Molecule: long non-coding RNA, 644 nt
Organism: Salvia splendens (bonfire salvia)
Lineage: Eukaryota; Viridiplantae; Streptophyta; Magnoliopsida; Lamiales; Lamiaceae
Exons: 4
Source: RefSeq, a predicted model, not a curated record